GUUGACCAGAAUACAGGCGUUCAACAUGCAACAUAUGAUAUCCUGUUAUCUCUUAGCAGUGACCAACAGUGAGCAGGGUAUUGGAUUUUAGCCUGGGAAGAGCUCGCUCUCUCUGUAGCCUCGUUGAAAGUGGCGGCGGCGGCGGCGGUGGUCUGUUUCACCGCGUUAGAGAUGGAGGAGAAGAAGCCGGCUCCGCCUGACUGGCCGGGAGGCGGCCGCCUCUCCUGUGAUCCGGGCGACACCGCCGGCGCGGGGCUCUGCUGCGGGGGGUCGGGCCGCUGGAGUCACGGCGCGAUUAUUCCGAGCUGCAGUUUUACAGCCUGUUCGACGCGACUGCCGAGUAAAUACCGCGCCGCGGAUCCGCAGGCAUAAAAAUAUAUAUUACUGACGGCGUAAAACGACGGUCCGGGAUCCGGUUUAUUGGAAGGGAAGGUGUGGCUGAAGCUGUCGAGUAUAUUACACUGCAGACACGCCCGCUGCCCAGUCCCCCACUCCACAAUCCGCGCAGGGUUUUCCUUCUCUCCCCACCUAAUGCUUAGGACCAGCACCAGUUCUCCCAGAUCUUCAUACGAGACUAUUUAUUUCAUAAAUAUAUAGUAUAUGCAGCUCUGGGACCACUUAAGAAUGAGUUACUUUGAUUUUACCAAAUUAAAAAUCUCUGGAAUAUAAUCAAUUGGAAGAUGGAUGAUCAUAAGCCAUUAAACUAAGCUAAACUGCUUGACUUUUUGCACCAGGAGUGGCAUCUAAAAGCAGUGUGUAAGACUGGUGGAGGAGAACAUGCCAAGAUGCAUGAAAACUGUGAUUAAAAACCAGGGUUAUUCCACCAAAUAUUGAUUUC
Molecule: long non-coding RNA, 838 nt
Filed under: Astyanax mexicanus (Mexican tetra)
Lineage: Eukaryota; Metazoa; Chordata; Actinopteri; Characiformes; Acestrorhamphidae
Description: lncRNA (ENSAMXG00005022834.1)
Source: RNAcentral